This 319-nucleotide long non-coding RNA is filed under the name Penaeus japonicus. RNAcentral describes it as "uncharacterized LOC122267741". Lineage: Eukaryota; Metazoa; Arthropoda; Malacostraca; Decapoda; Penaeidae. The record is from RNAcentral.
CGGGGAAGGCAGCACCAACCGCCACCACCACCACAGACCCAAGCAGACGCUGGAGAACCCGAAGCUCCUUCAGGAUAACCAUCUCGUGCAUGAUACGGACCACAUGAAGGAGGAAAUGCCAGAAUACAUGACCCCUGAAACCAUUAAGAAUAUGUCACCGAGGGAACUUGACUACCAUUAUUUUAAACUCCACGACUUCGACGACAACCUCCGCCUCGACGGCCUCGAACUGCUCGCCGCCCUCGGUCACGUCCACGGCGACGACGACGACGACGACGAUGACGACGACGAAGGAGGCCAGUGAAAAGGAGGAAGAGAG